RNAcentral lists this ribosomal RNA (1040 nucleotides) under Candidatus Synechococcus spongiarum 632SC1. RNAcentral's name for it is "bacterial SSU rRNA". It matches the Rfam family "Bacterial small subunit ribosomal RNA", at positions 188 to 1247 of the family's 1533-position model. The record is from RNAcentral. Lineage: Bacteria; Bacillati; Cyanobacteriota; Cyanophyceae; Synechococcales; Synechococcaceae.
AUAUGCCGAGAGGUGAAACGAAUUUUGCCUGGGGAUGAGCUCGCGUCUGAUUAGCUUGUUGGUGGGGUAAAAGCCUACCAAGGCUUCGAUCAGUAGCUGGUCUGAGAGGACGAUCAGCCACACUGGGACUGAGACACGGCCCAGACUCCUACGGGAGGCAGCAGUGGGGAAUUUUCCGCAAUGGGCGCAAGCCUGACGGAGCAACGCCGCGUGAGGGAUGAAGGCCUUUGGGCUGUAAACCUCUUUUCUCAAGGAAGAAGACCUGACGGUACUUGAGGAAUAAGCCACGGCUAAUUCCGUGCCAGCAGCCGCGGUAAUACGGGAGUGGCAAGCGUUAUCCGGAAUUAUUGGGCGUAAAGCGUCCGCAGGCGGCCGUUUAAGUCUGUUGUUAAAUCGUGGAGCUCAACUCCAUCACGGCAAUGGAAACUGUUCGGCUUGAGUAUGGUAGGGGCAGAGGGAAUUUCCGGUGUAGCGGUGAAAUGCGUAGAUAUCGGGAAGAACACCAGUGGCAAAAGCGCUCUGCUGGGCCAUUACUGACGCUCAUGGACGAAAGCCAGGGGAGCGAAAGGGAUUAGAUACCCCUGUAGUCCUGGCCGUAAACGAUGAACACUAGAUGUUGGGGGAAUCGACCCCUCCGGUGUCGUAGCUAACGCGUUAAGUGUUCCGCCUGGGGAGUACGCACGCAAGUGUGUAACUCAAAGGAAUUGACGGGGGCCCGCACAAGCGGUGGAGUAUGUGGUUUAAUUCGAUGCAACGCGAAGAACCUUACCAAGGCUUGACAUCCUGCGAAUCUCCAAGAAAUUGGAGAGUGCCUUCGGGAACGCAGUGACAGGUGGUGCAUGGCUGUCGUCAGCUCGUGUCGUGAGAUGUUGGGUUAAGUCCCGCAACGAGCGCAACCCACGUUUUUAGUUGCCAGCAUUCAGUUGGGCACUCUAGAAAGACUGCCGGUGACAAACCGGAGGAAGGUGUGGACGACGUCAAGUCAUCAUGCCCCUUACGCCUUGGGCUACACACGUACUACAAUGCUGCGGACAAAGAGU